Pelobates cultripes (western spadefoot toad) is the source of this 1159-nucleotide non-coding RNA. The record is from the annotation of a GenBank genome assembly. NCBI's taxonomy places the organism in Eukaryota, Metazoa, Chordata, Amphibia, Anura, Pelobatidae.
CACCAAGAGGCUAACACCCCGCUACAACACUUCAUAGCUAUGAGCCGCACUGCCCAAAUCAUAAAUAGAACCUCUCACUGCCGCUUUGGAACUAGCAGUUCCGCACCGGUCACUAGUAAUUAAUAUCUUCGCUUAUCGGCACUAGUUAGCAACCCAGCUCUACAUAAGGGAUGUUACCGGUGUGCAUCAACGUUUUGCAUUUUUAACCAUCAUCAAUUCCCAGACAGGAGGCUGCAAGAAAUAGUUCCAGGUGACGUUCUAUUGCUGAAAAGACACUCCAACACUGUCAUCCCAGGUCCCCUGCAGAACUCCCUGUUCCCGCCACUACCUAGGCCUUGCUCAAAUAUGACGGUUAAACCACAAGUUAGGAGACGCAAUGUUCCCGCCCACGGCCGGAAAGGCUGCUUAUACCCCAAACAAGCUGGUCAUGCCCUAGAGUGGCGCACGUCAGUAGUUCAGUUAACUCAAUAUUGUAAUCAGCAGAUUUCAGUUGUCCAUAGCAUCACAACGGUGCCUCUUUCCACAUACGAUACUAGGUCCUCCUUCAGCCAAUUUGAAUUUUAUCAUACAUCAUUCUAGUUGGUCCCCCAGGUGUCGCAACCGUCCGGAUUAAAGUUUUGUUAUGCUUGGGUAUAUACACUCGGUUAAACAUAAUUAAUUUUAACUGGUAAACGUUCAAGGUACACAUAUGACAAUUCUUCAAAGGGUCUUUCUUAAAAAAAAAAAAAAAAAAUCUGGUUUUGCUUUAGAUUUAGUUAUUCGUUACAUGAGGGUUGUUGGAAUUGGUUACUUAUAAUACAUUUUUAGCAGAUUUACUAUACUGCUGAAUGUUCUGUCUUCUACAAUAUCACUACUCACUUAUCGGCCUCCGGGAUAUCCAAAUUGAGGUUAGGCUAACACAGGCCUACGUAUCAGGCAAUUACCUGCCAGCAAUAUGGCCUCGUUACAGGUCCACAUUUCACAUACAAUCUACAGUUUAAUCAUUCCUAGAAUUUUAGGUACGACCGUGCUGUACUGGUUUUCAUCUCGUGUCAUAUGCUGUUCGACGUAUGUAUGACACCUGGUUGAUGCUAGUCAUUUAUACUGAUCUUCCAUCUUUCAACAGUAUUACCCCAGUCAACAACGUUACUUACCCCCAAAUUGUUUUGCAAAAUAUUUG